Long non-coding RNA from Neofelis nebulosa (Clouded leopard), 1348 nucleotides. RefSeq lists it as uncharacterized. The record is from RefSeq and is a predicted model, not a curated record. NCBI's taxonomy places the organism in Eukaryota, Metazoa, Chordata, Mammalia, Carnivora, Felidae. The transcript is spliced from 3 exons.
UUUUUUUAAUUAUUCUUUUUUUUUUUUUAACGUUUAUUUAUUUUGGGGACAGAGAGAGACAGAGCAUGAACGGGGGAGGGGCAGAGAGAGAGGGAGACACAGAAUCGGAAGCAGGCUCCAGGCUCUGAGCCAUCAGCCCAGAGCCCCACGCGGGGCUCGAACUCACGGACCGCGAGAUCGUGACCUGAGCUGAAGUCGGACGCUUAACCGACUGAGCCACCCAGGCGCCCCGUGACAGUUUUAAUCAUGAACAGUUAUUACAGCAGCCAGCCAGCACAGGGAGUAAAAAGAACUAACCCGUUGGUGGGUGGUGACUAGGGGAUCGCUAACUGAUUUGGGAAAAACAUGAAUCUUGGUUUUCUUAAGAAUCCUUGCCACCUGCUUUGGGAUUCUCCUUGCCUGGUUCAUUCUGAAAUGAGGUGGUUGGAAGCCUUACAUCAAGAGGAAUGGGGCCACCGUGACCAGAGUGCCCACCUUUGAAUUGCAGGCAACAACGUGAACCUGUUUCCAGCAUGAAAUGUUCUAUGAAGACCUUUGUAUGGAAGACCUGGCCUCAUUUACCAGGUACCCACUGAGGGACAUUCGAGUUACAUCCAGUUUGUCAUGGAGAAACAUGGGGGCAGAGACGUGACACAGCCCGUAAGGAGAAAGCCGGGAUUGAUCUCCCAUCUGUUUGACUCAGGACUUUUUCAUUUAGAAUAGGAAAUAUUAAUAUUAAAAUUGUUAUAUUAAAUAGUAAAGCUGGAGAACGCUCCAGAUCCCCUAAGCCAAUCCCCUCGCCUGACAAGGCCCAGAGUGGAAGGGACUUGCCCAAGGACAUACAGCAGGAUGGUGACAGUGCAGAGCCGGGGCUCCAGGCUCCUGAUGGCCACUCAGGAGCCAGGUUCCCGGUGCCCAGGGGUAAGGAGGCCUCUCCCAUUGGGAGGAGCCGGGGAGCUUAUGGGGCUGUGAGCAUCUCUGCAGCCCCGACCCAGGCCAGGUGCCAGGAGAAGCCACUGUUUUUCACUGGCCACUGCAAUUACUCCUUUUGUCCAUAAUUCUACGUGCGGGUCUGCUCCCAACUCCUGCCUGGAUUUUCCUCCCUGCAGCUGCCCUCAGUGCCAAGGAAGGGUGACCAAAAGUGUCUGCUCUGGCUGCUGAGUCAACCUGUUCUGCAUUUCAGGCCCUGAACUACCCCUGCCCCUGCCCACCCCCACCCCCCAACCCCCCAGCGGCUCACGCCUUCCCGGUCUUGUUUUCAGGCUAGUUUUUUGUAAGGAUAUGUUUUAUUUAACCCAACAUAUGUAAAAAAAAAAAAUGUGAUUUCAACAUACAGCCAAUACAAAUAAAGUGUUAACAAGGCAUUUUA